RNAcentral lists this ribosomal RNA (460 nucleotides) under uncultured bacterium. RNAcentral's name for it is "partial 16S ribosomal RNA". It matches the Rfam family "Bacterial small subunit ribosomal RNA", at positions 338 to 795 of the family's 1533-position model. The record is from RNAcentral.
CCUACGGGAGGCAGCAGUGAGGAAUCUUGGUCAAUGUGCGCGAGCCUGAACCAGCCAAGUAGCGUGAAGGAUGACUGCCCUCCGGGUUGUAAACUUCAUUUAUAAAGGAAUAAAGUGAGUCACGUGUGCCUUUUUGUAUGUACUUUAUGAAUAAUGAUAGGCUAACUCCGUGCCAGCAGCCGCGGUAAUACGGAGGAGCCGAGCGUUAUCCGGUUUUAUUGGGUUGAAAUGGAGCGUAGAUGGGUUGUUAAGUCAGUUGUGAAAGUUUGCGGCUCAACCGUAAAAUUGCAAUUGAUACUGGUAGUCUUGAGUACAGUUGAGGUAGGCGGAAUUCGUGGUGUAGCGGUGAAAUGCUUAGAUAUCACGAAGAACUCCGAUUGCGAAGGCAGCUUACUAAACUGCCACUGACAUUGAUGCUCGAAAGUGUGGGUAUCAAACAGGAUUAGAUACCCUGGUAGUC